UUUAUGGAGAGUUUGAUCCUGGCUCAGAGUGAACGCUGGCGGCGUGCCUAAUACAUGCAAGUCGAACGAUGAAGCUUCUAGCUUGCUAGAAGUGGAUUAGUGGCGCACGGGUGAGUAAGGUAUAGUUAAUCUGCCCUACACAAGAGGACAACAGUUGGAAACGACUGCUAAUACUCUAUACUCCUGCUUAACACAAGUUGAGUAGGGAAAGUUUUUCGGUGUAGGAUGAGACUAUA
This 236-nucleotide ribosomal RNA is filed under the name Campylobacter coli. Its description in RNAcentral is "partial 16S ribosomal RNA". It matches the Rfam family "Bacterial small subunit ribosomal RNA", at positions 1 to 235 of the family's 1533-position model. The record is from RNAcentral. RNAcentral also lists the same sequence under 2 other names. Lineage: Bacteria; Pseudomonadati; Campylobacterota; Epsilonproteobacteria; Campylobacterales; Campylobacteraceae.